RNAcentral lists this ribosomal RNA (237 nucleotides) under uncultured bacterium. RNAcentral's name for it is "partial 16S ribosomal RNA". It matches the Rfam family "Bacterial small subunit ribosomal RNA", at positions 524 to 759 of the family's 1533-position model. The record is from RNAcentral.
UACGUAGGGGGCAAGCGUUGUCCGGAAUCAUUGGGCGUAAAGAGCGCGUAGGCGGCCCUGUAAGUCCGCUGUGAAAGUCAAGGGCUCAACCCUUGGAUGCCGGUGGAUACUGCAGGGCUAGAGUCCGGAAGAGGCGAGUGGAAUUCCUGGUGUAGCGGUGAAAUGCGCAGAUAUCUGGAGGAACACCGAUGGCGAAGGCAGCCCCCUGGGCUAACACUGACGCUGACUGCACGAAAG